Molecule: small nucleolar RNA, 138 nt
Organism: Tachyglossus aculeatus (Australian echidna)
Lineage: Eukaryota; Metazoa; Chordata; Mammalia; Monotremata; Tachyglossidae
Source: RefSeq, a predicted model, not a curated record
ACCCUCUCAGGAUCGCAUCUGGGGAGUUUCCAUUACUCUACCAGUCUUGGCUAUGGGAGGGAGAGUCAAGCAGAGGCAUACCCAUUCCAUUCCUAACUUGGACAGUGGCUAGUGAGCAAAAGGCAAUCUGCUUCAAGU